GUUUCCUUUGCCAUGCAAAAGCUUGUCAGUUUGAUUAGGUUCCAUUUGUUUGUCUUUGCUUUUAUUUCUGUUGCCUUGGGAGACUGUCCUGAGAAAACAUUUGUAAGGUUGAUGUCAGAGAAUGUUUUUCCUAUGUUCUCUUCUAGAGUUUGAUGGUGUCUGGUCUUACGUUUAUGUCUUUAAGCCAUUUUCAGUUUACUUUUGUGCAUGGUGUGAGGGUGUGUUCCAGCUUCAUUGAUUUACAUGUGGCUGUCCAGUUUUCCCAGCACCACCUGCUGAAAAGACUGCCUUUUUCCCAUUUUAUAUUCUUGCCUCCUUUGUUGAAGAUUAAUUGACCAUAGGUGUCUGGGUUUAUUUCUGGUUCUCUAUUCUGUUCCAUUGGUCUGUAUGUCUGUUUUGGUACCAGUACCACACCAUCUUGAUGAUUGCAGCUUUGUAAUAUUACCUGAAUUCUGGGAGAGUUAUACCUCCUGCUUGGUUUUUAUUCCUCAGGAUUUCUUUGGCAAUUCUGGGUCCUUUGUGUGAAUCCACAGUUUUUAAAUUAGAAUCACUCACCUGGUGUCUGGACUUACUGAGUUUCAGGUUCUUUGUGCUUCAGCAUCGAAGGAAUUCAGCGAGAGACAGUGAUAGGAUAGGAUGCUUGUGAGAGAUGGAAGCAGGCAGGUGAGGAGGCUCUGCCCCAAGAAUUAGGUAGGCUACCGUUUUAUCAUCCAAGGGGAGUGGGGGUGGGGAAAGACCACCUUUUUCUCUUUCUUUGAGUAGUAGGUCCUCCUUGGUAUCUGCUAAGAGAGAAUUUGACCCUCUAAGGUCAAACCAGGACUGUCAUCGUGCUUAUUCAAAUCAGCAGAAGGCUGGUCCUUAAACACUUGCCCCUGAUCUGAGCAUGAAUGCAGGCUUCACCCCAUUCCCCACCCAGUGACCUGAGGCAUGUCUCAUAUCUCCCAAAGUCCCCUACGGUUCCCUCUCUAUCUAUGGUCUCUUAUUGGGACUUCCACAACUAUGUGUGUAACUAUCCUACUCCAUCCCUAUCUGAAUUGGAGCUGCAGCUGCCAGCCUAUACCACAGCCAUAGCAACAAGGGAUCCAAGCCAGGUCUGUGACCUACGCCACAGCUCACAGCAACACUGGAUACUUAACUCACUGAACGAGGCCAGAGAUCGAACCCACAUCCUCACAGAUGUUAUAUCAGGCUCUUAACCCACCGAGCUACAAUGGGAACACCUUAACUCCCCUAUACUUCAUUUCUCACUUGCUUCAUUUUUCCAGAGUCAUCACAGCCAUCGUGGCCAAGCCAUCAUCACCUCUUGUUUGAAUCAAGGUGAAACUCUCUAACUUGUCUCCCUUCAUUCUCUUGUCCCUGACCACACAGCACCCAGAUAUCCUUUCUCUGGUGCCCAGAGCACUCAAACACAGAAGCUAAAAUUCUUAGUCUGACUUCAAGACCCUCUGUGACUUCUCUUGCUUCGGCUCCCUCUCACAUUUCUCACCCUCUCUCAUUCUACUCCAGCCACACUGGCCUUCUUCCUAUUCUCUGAACAUACCUCAGGGCCUUUGCACUUGCUGUCCCUGAACAUAUUUUCCUAUCUUUAGGGAAAGAUAUUGUGGAUACCCCUGUAUAGCACUUAGAUUGAUUUCCUAUUACUGAGGCAUGAAGAGACCUGAGAGGGGGCUGAAUUAGGCAAUGUCAAAGUGGCUGCUUUCCUGCACCCCUUUCAUCAUGAUUUUCUAUGUAACAUCUUUCAUGCUUUCUGCCUACCCAACCUAUGUGAUGGUCAGUGUCAGAGCUCAGGCUGGAGAACCAGCCACCGGACAGUUAACAGUUACACAGGCAGUGGCUGUUUGAGUCUUGUUUCUGCUCCAGGCAGGAUCCCUUUUUAUCUCAGACCCCAAACAGUGGAAACGGAUCUUUCCAUCACACCGUCUCCUCUCCCAUUUUACUAAAAGGCCCAGAGAACAUACCCAGGACAGUCCUCAGGGCAGAGAGAGGAUGUAAGAGAAGCUAGUCCCCUAGGGACAGGGGAAGAUCCAGCUGGCAGUCACCAGGGCGCUGAGUGUGUGGGAGGAGGAAGCAGCCAGUCAGCCUGGCAAAAGGCCUAAACAGGCACCAACCAGCCGAGGAGAGGCAGCCAAGGCGAAGAGAAAUCUGACCACAUCGGAACUCAGACCAGUUGGCAAGGAACUUGGUCCCACUAGUUCCUGGAGGAUAAAGAGGUGAAAUUGUGUCUCAGGUCCCAAGACAGACCAACAUCUGAUGUUGUGUGCUUGAGGUUUCUAAGUGUGAGCCAGGCUCAUUGCAUCUAGCUGUCAUUUCCAUGUGUUGAUCCAGUGUUUUCCCAACAAAUGCUUUGAGUAUGUCCUUAAAGUCCUUGAUCAAAGGCUGGAGAGGUCUGGUCCCACUUGAGAUGGUUGUCUGGAUGGAGUGGACUCUAGCUAAUAAUUCAACUCUCUUCAGCAGCCAGAGAAGGGGAACUCAGAAAUGUAUACCCCUUCCAGAAUGAAGCUUUAACAAGACUUCUUUUAGUCUGAGUCUGUUGUACCUUUUACCUCUUUUACACAGCAGGGGCUCUGUCUUCCUUUUUCCUUCCCAUAGCACCAGUGCUGUAUGUGGCAGGCAUUAAAUGACUAUCUACCUAAAAGAAGCAUAUCUUGAAUUAAACUACAUGUUCUGACCAUCUCAGUAAACCCUGCACAUUUUUGGCAGGGGUUUUCAGGCCCCUCUGCACCAUCCACCCCAAAGGGCUGUCAGGACCUAAGUAUUCUGACUAUCUCACCCUAUCGUCUUGUGCACAGGUGCUUGCAUCCAAAGUGCUUGUAAAAGCAGUAGACUCUACUCAAGUCUAAAGUGGGAAGACUACCUGUGAUGAUGUUGGAUAAUUGCCUCCAGACUAGCAGAGCUAGUGCUAUUACUGUGUGUUCAUGAGGUAUGAGCUGAGACUUUCCCUCCUGAAUGUAGAUGAGGGCAGAUUCCAAAAGGGGCUGUCAUAGAAAAACAUUCAGCUUUCCAACAGGUCUUUAUUAUUUUAUUUCAUUGGCCACCCCAAGGCAUAUGGACUUCCUGCACCAGGGAUCAGAUCUGAGCUGCAAUGGUGACCUGUGCUGCAGCUGUGGCAACGCCAGAUCCUUCACCCACUGUGCCAGGCUGGGGAUCAAACCUGCAUCCCAGUGCUUCUACGACGCAGUUGAUCCUGUUGUACCACAGCAGGAACUCCCCAGUCAGUCUUUAAAUAGGAUCUCUCAUUUCGAGAGGCAAGAUAUUUGAUACACAGAGUAGCUUUCCCCAGCUGAAGGACAUAGCUACAAGUCAAAGUGUAGAUUUUAAUUCCUCAUGAAAGGGUCAGAGGGCCACCACCCUCCUUGUGGGUGGUUUUUAGCAUCAGGUGUCUGGGUUAUGAAUUCCCAAGCAGGGGGACAAUUACUUUCCUCCAAAAGGCCCAACCAGAAGGACUUGGCUUUGGUCUGCCUUUGCUUCCCCCUCCCUCUUCUUCCUCAUUCCCUCUCAUUCCAUCCAGCCCACAGAACCCACUUUAAGGAAGUGUAGGAUUCUGAGGUCAAUGACCUCUGCAAUAUCUCCCCAGGCACCAAAGUCAGGGAAACUUGCACAGAGGAAUGGGCAUUAGAUUUGAAUUCAAUGAAUAUACCUGAAAGUCUUUCUUUUCUUUGUAUCGGCCAAAUGAAAUGAACUGAUAACAGCUAAGAAGUGUGGGAUUCAAGCCACAGGCUUGCACCAGUGUUAAAUGAUGGUUCGAUCAAGUGGUACAAAGAAAACACAUGAGCGCAGGGCCUUCAUGGCAGGCCCAGCUUCUUACUGCUUGAGUCUCAUGUUGACGAAGAAAAGGAUGGCUGAAGAAGGGCCUCUCUGUUUUUUAUUGCUCUAAGAGAGUUUCGGACACAUUUAAGGGAAAGAAAUGUAUGGAACUCGGGCAAGAAUCCUCUUCCUGGUUGAAUGAGGGCUCCCCCCACCACAUUCCUCAUGGACAGCUCCCCCUGCUGGUAUUCAGACUAUUCCUUAAGACAAUGACCUUGGUCUAGUAGGUUUCCUCUUUUCACCCUGUUCUGAUUAUUAAAGUUGAGCAAGUAAACAAAGGGGCAAAAGAUUAAUACGGCUCCCAUGCAAGGAUGAUAUGCAAAUUUGUGAAGCAUUCCAUAUUUUUCUGUAACCUUUAGAAUGUAUAAGCAAUGAGGUCCUCUUGUAUAGCCCAGGGAACUGUAUCCAAUCUCUUGGGAUAGACCAUGAUAGAAGAUAAUAUGAGAAAAAGAAUGUAUAUAUAGGUAUGACUGGGUCACUGUGCUGUACAGCAGAAAUUGGCACAAUGUUGUAAAUUUACUAUACUUUAAUUCAAAAAAGAGUAAAAAAAAAAAAAAAUGGGAGGAGGAGUGAUGGGAAAGAAUGACAAGCCCACAGUUCCAUCCCCAGAGGAUUCUGGUGACAUCGUCUCUGCUGAAGGCUGUUUGGAAGCAUCUCUUGUGGACCAGUACAGGCUUCAUCUGGGAGACUUGCCUGGUUAACGUUCAGAAACUCUCUAUAUAGAUUUCUACACAUUCUACAUGUUUGACAUUAGAUACCUAGAAAGGACUGGGAAGUGAAGAAGGCAUCAUGACGUUUAAAGAAGACUUGGUGAUCAGUGUGGAGUGUCCUUCACAGAAAUGGCCUUGUGUUCAGCAGGGAUGCAGCAGGCGUGUCCCCAGUCUCCACCUUCCCUGUGGCUGCUCUCCUGGGGCCCGUCUUGCACAGGAGGAGAAUUUGGCCAUAGUAGUGGCUUCUUUCCUCUUUCACUCAUGGUUUCUCUAUUAUUCAGCAAUUAGUAGGGUGCGCCCAUUACAUGCGAAAUACUCUUCCAGCCUCUCCUCCUCUGUUUCCCACGCAUCACAGAUCCAGGGAGUUGAAAGUCACUGUCUUCAGGAAAAGGACAGACCCCUCUCCAGCCCUGAUCUCAGGAUAACUCUACAAGAUGUGAAUCUCAUACUUGAGUUUUGUCCCAAUGUAACACCCAGGACCCAGUGAUUUAGAAAAGAUGGCUGUGUCCUGGGUCCGAAAUAAUAUGCUUGUUGUAAAUCACCCGUGCAUGCACUCUACAGAUGUGAAAACCUAUUGUGGCACCGGACUUUAAUUAGACCUUCUGACUUAACCUCCUCCCUCUUUAGGCCUUUUGUGAUAUGGCCCCACCCCAUCCAUCUGAUCCGGCAUCCUACUCAGGUAUAACCUCUUUUGCUGAGCACAUAUCCCCACAAAGGUACAUCACAAGCAUCCUGCCAUAAAUCAGCACAUGGUACCUGCUGUGGUGCCGGCCUCAUCCCACCCUUCUCGCCAUGGUGAGCCUGAGGCAAUAAAUAUUUGGCUCAUUGGUUCAUCUGGGAAGCCACAGUUUCUGAACAUCCACGAGAUCAUCAGAGAGGAGUAUCUUGAGCUGCCUGGUGCAACAGAAAAGGGAAAUUUUGAGAAACAGAGGAAUCUAGGGCAGUUUCUGCUUUGAAUUUGGGACUGAAGCUAAUUUAAAA
Molecule: small nuclear RNA, 5495 nt
Filed under: Sus scrofa (pig)
Lineage: Eukaryota; Metazoa; Chordata; Mammalia; Artiodactyla; Suidae
Description: lncRNA (ENSSSCG00065041957.1)
Source: RNAcentral